UGCAUGAACUAGCAUGCGAGUCAUUGUAGCAUACAAGGCAUACGGCUCAGUAACGCGUAGUCAACCUAACCUAUGGACGGGAAUAACCUCGGGAAACUGAGAAUAAUGCCCGAUAGAACACUAUACCUGGAAUGGUUUGUGUUCCAAAUGAUUUAUCGCCAUAGGAUGGGACUGCGGCCUAUCAGUUUGUUGGUGAGGUAAUGGCCCACCAAGACUAUUACAGGUACGGGCUCUGAGAGGAGUAGCCCGGAGAUGGGUACUGAGACACGGACCCAGGCCCUAUGGGGCGCAGCAGGCGAGAAAACUUUGCAAUGUGCGAAAGCACGACAAGGUUAAUCCGAGUGAUUUGUGCUAAACGAAUCUUUUGUUAGUCCUAGAAACACUAACGAAUAAGGGGUGGGCAAGUUCUGGUGUCAGCCGCCGCGGUAAAACCAGCACCUCAAGUGGUCAGGAUGAUUAUUGGGCCUAAAGCAUCCGUAGCCGGCUCUGUAAGUUUUCGGUUAAAUCUGUACGCAUAACGUACAGGCUGCCGGGAAUACUGCAGAGCUAGGGAGUGGGAGAGGUAGACGGUACUCGGUAGGAAGUGGUAAAAUGCUUUGAUCUAUCGAUGACCACCUGUGGCGAAAGGCGGUCUACCAGAACACGUCCGACGGUGAGGGAUGAAAGCUGGGGGAGCAAACCGGGAUUAGAUACCCGGUAGUCCCAGCUGUAACUAUGCAACCUCAGUGAAUGCAAUGCUGUGCCCAUUGCAGUGCUGCCAGGCAAAGCCGU
This 771-nucleotide ribosomal RNA is filed under the name uncultured archaeon. RNAcentral's name for it is "bacterial SSU rRNA". It matches the Rfam family "Archaeal small subunit ribosomal RNA", at positions 38 to 815 of the family's 1478-position model. The record is from RNAcentral.